AAUGAACGCUGACAGAAUGCUUAACACAUGCAAGUCAACUUGAAUUUGGGUUUUUAACUUAGAUUUGGGUGGCGGACGGGUGAGUAACGCGUAAAGAACUUGCCUCACAGCUAGGGACAACAUUUAGAAAUGAAUGCUAAUACCUGAUAUUAUGAUUUUAGGGCAUCCUAGGAUUAUGAAAGCUAUAUGCACUGUGAGAGAGCUUUGCGUCCCAUUAGCUAGUUGGAGAGGUAACGGCUCACCAAGGCGAUGAUGGGUAGCCGGCCUGAGAGGGUGAUCGGCCACAAGGGGACUGAGACACGGCCCUUACUCCUACGGGAGGCAGCAGUGGGGAAUAUUGGACAAUGGACCAAGAGUCUGAUCCAGCAAUUCUGUGUGCACGAUGAAGUUUUUCGGAAUGUAAAGUGCUUUCAGUUGGGAAGAAAAAAAUGACGGUACCAACAGAAGAAGUGACGGCUAAAUACGUGCCAGCAGCCGCGGUAAUACGUAUGUCACAAGCGUUAUCCGGAUUUAUUGGGCGUAAAGCGCGUCUAGGUGGUUAUGUAAGUCUGAUGUGAAAAUGCAGGGCUCAACUCUGUAUUGCGUUGGAAACUGUGUAACUAGAGUACUGGAGAGGUAAGCGGAACUACAAGUGUAGAGGUGAAAUUCGUAGAUAUUUGUAGGAAUGCCGAUGGGGAAGCCAGCUUACUGGACAGAUACUGACGCUGAAGCGCGAAAGCGUGGGUAGCAAACAGG
RNAcentral lists this ribosomal RNA (735 nucleotides) under uncultured Fusobacterium sp. RNAcentral's name for it is "bacterial SSU rRNA". It matches the Rfam family "Bacterial small subunit ribosomal RNA", at positions 28 to 776 of the family's 1533-position model. The record is from RNAcentral. Lineage: Bacteria; Fusobacteriati; Fusobacteriota; Fusobacteriia; Fusobacteriales; Fusobacteriaceae.